Myripristis murdjan (pinecone soldierfish) is the source of this 535-nucleotide non-coding RNA. NCBI's taxonomy places the organism in Eukaryota, Metazoa, Chordata, Actinopteri, Holocentriformes, Holocentridae. The record is from the annotation of a RefSeq genome assembly.
UGGAGAGCAGACAGAUGAUUUCCAUAGAGAGGAGGCUUUGCAUGGUCAGCUGAUCCUCCAGUGAACUGAGAAGGUUUAUAGUCGUGUGAGUUCAACACUGCAGGACUCACAUGUGUCAGUCAACACAGCACAAAGCACAAGCAGCAUGACUCUCAUCAGCAUCUUCAUCUGGACACUGGCCUGCUGCUGCUUCACAGGAUCCAGCAGUCAGGUGACUGUGACUCAGCCUCCAGUGGUGAAAUCUACUCCAGGAUCCACUGUCACCCUGUCCUGUAAAACCAACCCAAAGGCUUAUACUUGGUCAGAUGGAGAUUUUGGAAUAGGCUGGUAUCAGAUAAAAUCUGGAGAAGUUCCCAAACUCCUGAUCUACUAUGGCCGAAAGACUGCAAGUGGUAUUCCCUCUAGAUUCACUGGCAGUGGAGACGGUGUUAAUCCUGUUUUGACCAUCAGUGGAGCCCAGGCUGAAGAUGCAGCAGUUUAUUACUGUCAGAGUUUCCAUGAUGGCCCAGUGUUCACACAGUGAUAAAGGGCCGUA